Long non-coding RNA from Onychostoma macrolepis, 1203 nucleotides. RefSeq lists it as uncharacterized. The record is from RefSeq and is a predicted model, not a curated record. The transcript has 3 exons. NCBI's taxonomy places the organism in Eukaryota, Metazoa, Chordata, Actinopteri, Cypriniformes, Cyprinidae.
UUGUGCGUUUUAUAUGUUGUAGCUUAGCUAGAAAUUGCUUUUUAGUCUAACAACCGACUAGUUUGGUGUAGUACAUAUUUGUAAAUUCUCUUCCAUAACUACUAUAAUGACACGUCUUCAGUGCCUAUUUGCUUUGGCAAAGUGAAUUUUGGUGGAAAGAAGACAAACAUUUGUAAGUUAUGACGAUACAACUGACUGAAAAUAGCUGUCUAGUUGAGUGUACAAACUAUGAAAACAAACAAUUCAAGGGAAUCUGAUCAGUCGAGUGUCUCCUUAAACAGAGAUUCACAGGAGAACAGAUCUGCCGAAAACAACGAUGACGGCUGAGCCAAAGCUGGUGAAGAAAGAAAAACAGGACUUUAGAGCACAUCUUUGAGCUCGUUUGUCAAAGGGUUGCCACAUCUGCAGGAUUCCCUCGUGAUAAGUGUCAUAUUGAAGAUUUACGACUCGUUCUACUGCUGUAUCUGUGCCAAACAAACAGACUGGGAGCAGAUCCACCCCAUAAUAAACAAGCCUUAGAUCUGGGCUCUGGUAAACAGCAGCAGACACACUUGAUAAGUACUUGUGUCGUGGAGGGUAGUCUGUCCCGUGGCUCUUUUUCUCAUAAUGCUUAUUCAUUUGUGUUCAUAAAACGAUGACAAAAGUGAAUGCAUGUACGUUCAUGACUAGGGCUGGAAAUCUUGUUCACCUAAAUUUCCUUACAAUUCCCAAUCCAUAUUCAUAACCUGCACGAUCCAGCAAAAGAUGAUAAAAUACUGUGGAUACACCGGUCAUCUUAAAUUAGAUUCGAUUAGAUUAAUUGUAAACUAGAUUUUUACAUUUUCAAGAGAGAAUGUGUGCUGCUGGGGUGUUCUGGGUGGUUUCCAGGGUGUUGCUAGGUUGUUCAAUGAGUAAUCGUGAUAAUUAAUCAUGAUUUCAGUACUGACCCAAAUAAAUGAUUAUGAUUUGUGCCAUAAUUGAGCAGCCCUAGUCUCAAAUGUCUAUGACCUUCUGAUCGCUCGGGUCUCUCUCAUAUUUAAUAUGCGUCUGUGGGAUGUUUUUCACCCUGUUUUAAAGUCCUUCAGAUUAAAAUGUCACAUCUGAUUAUUAACAGCACACCUUUCCUCAAUUAUUUGAGGAAUCAUUCAUUUUUGGAGAUGAUGCACACAAUGAAGUUUAAUACCCAAGUAAUCCAAACAAAUCACUAACUGCAAGUAUGAGUAA